Echinostoma caproni is the source of this 47-nucleotide non-coding RNA. The record is from Rfam. Lineage: Eukaryota; Metazoa; Platyhelminthes; Trematoda; Plagiorchiida; Echinostomatidae.
GUACAGCUGACGAGUCCCAAACAAGACGAAACAGCUUUCCAAUGCAC